Molecule: long non-coding RNA, 1367 nt
Filed under: Zea mays
Lineage: Eukaryota; Viridiplantae; Streptophyta; Magnoliopsida; Poales; Poaceae
Description: long non-coding RNA (ZMAY_LNC002574)
Source: RNAcentral
AGCCCAUCUCUCUUAACGCAGGUUGAGAGAGGAGGCUCGCUUCCUUCUCUGGCAAGGCCAAUUUGGAUGCAGUGUUGUCACCAAGCACAAAGCAACUCCAGAUGAAGUUGAAAUCCAGUUGGAUGCAGUGUCUUCUCUUUUCGUUUUUCCCUUCCUGUCUGUUACAUUAGUGAGUCUGGCUUAAACAGGUAGAUUAAUGAAGUGCUAUAGAAGAAAAAUGAUCCCCAUGUGUAGUAAAGUCAGCAUCGUAUACCAGUUUCGUAUUUGCCGCAGAGCAUUACGUAUCAUCAAAACCUGUUUAUACCAGAGUAUUUCUUAAAGCCAUCCUAUAACAAAACAUAUGAUUAAUUCAAAAAAUGAAGCUCGAAACUAUCCCUAAAAGCUCGAAACUGAUCACGUCGCUGAAGAUAGCUUUAUAGAUGAUUUGAACAUAGCUGAGAUGACCGUACUGUUUUUGUUUAGAUAAACCUGGUGCUACAUCCAAGAAAUUGGUCUAUUCGCUACCAAAUGUGAAUUUCAUGUUAUUUGUGAUGUCCAGGCCGACGUAGCGUCUGAUAGGGCCUAAGGAUUUUCUAGACAAGGGAAUAUACUGGCUCCAGAACUUGCUGACGAAGUUGCAGUCUUUUACAGAGACUUUUGAUUCUAAUGGCCGCUGGUUCAGCAUGGGAGAGUGCGAUUUAUUUUUGGAGAAAAAACUAGAAUGCUUGAGGGUCUUGAAGUAUGACAUUGAAGCAGCAUGUUUAUUAAAGCAAGGUCAAGGACCUGAAAAGGUCUGGACUCUGACAUGCUCAUCCAGUAUUUUUAUUUUAUCUUAUUACCACUUUACCAAAGCUGUGCUGUUUUUUCAGUAUUUGUAGCUAUAUUACUUGCUGUGAUACUUCAACAUGUAAUUAGACUUCUUUGUUUUCGGGGCCACAGUAGAACUGCAGAAUUGAAUUCUCAGGACGUGCUGGAGCAAUUGACAGCACAACAACAAUUGUUAUAUCGACUUAUUGGUUGUCGGGUAAUUCUCUCUUAUCCUUGUAGCAGAUAAGCUGGUUUAGUGAAAUAAACUGAUUUCUAUAGUCAUAUUUAGUUUUUUUGGCCCAAGGCUCGGUGCCAAUACUGCAAUAAAUUGUUCUACCCCAACAAGAUGAAGGUGCACUUGAUGUAUCACUGUGGGCCUAAUGCUAAACGCACAGAAGCUCAGGCUAAGCAGCAGAGCAAGAGGAAGUGGGACAGCAGCAAGGAAAAGGUGAAGGAGAAGAGGAGGGUUCAUAAGAAGGGUGAUGAGGCGAAUAAGGAUUUUCAGGAAUUGGCUGAUGAACUGGGCAGACAGUUAAGGGGCCAAUCUCCUCUGCAUUCUAUGCGGUGGGAGCGUGUUAUCC